Molecule: ribosomal RNA, 253 nt
Filed under: uncultured bacterium
Lineage: Bacteria
Description: partial 16S ribosomal RNA
Rfam family: Bacterial small subunit ribosomal RNA
Source: RNAcentral
UACGUAGGGUGCAAGCGUUAAUCGGAAUUACUGGGCGUAAAGGGUGCGUAGGCGGCGCGGUAAGUCGGGUGUGAAAUCUCGGAGCUUAACUCCGAAACUGCAUUCGAUACUGCCGUGCUUGAGGACUGGAGAGGAGACUGGAAUUUACGGUGUAGCGGUGAAAUGCGUAGAUAUCGUAAGGAAGACCAGUGGCGAAGGCGGGUCUCUGGACAGUUCCUGACGCUGAGGCACGAAGGUCAGGGGAGCGAACGGG